Molecule: non-coding RNA, 72 nt
Organism: Haemonchus contortus (barber pole worm)
Lineage: Eukaryota; Metazoa; Nematoda; Chromadorea; Rhabditida; Trichostrongylidae
Source: Rfam
GUCUCAGUAGUGUAAGAGAUGGAGCACGGCGCCCGGAAAGCACAAGUACGGGUUCGAAUCCCGUCCGAGACU